AAAUUAAUUUUAUUCUAAUUCUAGAGUGAUUUAUUUUAUACAUUAUAGUGAAUUUUUUCAUAGUAAAUUUUUUGGUCGGUAUUUUUUCUUUGUACAAACUUUUUAUUUUUAAUUUUCGGUGCAUAUUUUUAGUUAUUAAGUAUUAUUUGAUAAUGAAGCUGGAAGAUAGAUAGUUCAUUUAGGUUUAUUUUAGUGACCGUAAAUACCACUGGUCACAGAAGAGCAAUUUAAUACACAAUUUUGUUUACUUUGGAUGACAUAUUUUUUCAGUUAUUUUGAUUUAAAUACCAUUGAACUGAAUUUGAUAAAUUUUCUAUGGGACUAUUUUAAAAGCAUGUCCUUUUAAAUAAAAAAGAAUUUUCGACAUCGGUUUAUAAAUGGCGGAGUAGUGAGUUUAAUAAGUAACCCAGUAUUUUUUUUAUAAGUACUCGAACAGAUCAAAGUUUAAAAUAAAACCGUUCGGAUUUAUUAAUUUUCAAGAGAGCACUCGGUAACCUGGCUUUCAGUUUAUGUACUGUUCAUACGAUCAAUUUAUACCUACUAUUUGAUUUUAUUUUAAGUAUAAUAGAAUCAUUAUAAUGGUAAUAAUAGUUUUGAUAUACAGUUAUAAUUUUAUGUAACAAUCUAACAUUUAAUUGUGAAAGUUUAGGAUAAAAGUGAACUUCCCCAAGUAGUUGGGAUUAAGGCGAGGAAAAUAAGAAGAAUUUAAUGUUUAAUUAGUAAAUUAAUAAAAUAAUAACAUUUUAAAUAAUACAAUGAUCUAAGAUGACUUUAUUCAGACUAGUGCGAAUUCAUUUGGCGAGCAGAUGACGGAUUUUUAAUUGUGAUAUAAUUUAGUUGUGAUUUGUGUGCUAUUCCCGCAAAUUGUUAACAAAUAUAUCAUUUCUAUAAAUGCUCCUUUUGGGACGUUACUAUUUUCUUAUCAACAAGAGAACUAACAACAUUUCUGCCGCUCUUGUCUCUUUCCUGUUAAUAAUUUGUUUCGCGUUUAACUCAAAAAACUAAUAUCCAAAUAUAUUAAAAACAACUGAUUAUAUUGGAGCGGAGAAAAAUUUCAAAGAUAUGUAAUGACUGAAAAACAGUAGUGUUAGUGCUUCAAAACAACUUGAAGAAAAACAGAUAAAUCUGCCAGUUCUGGAGGAUUUUUUGAUGAAAAAAAGGUUUACUAAUCAAAAUACCUUGGAUCAACUACUGCAACAAUUAAUUAAAGUGUUAAUUUACCAUUUAGAAUAAUUGUAAAUCUUGUUUUAAAGGAUAUAAUUGAAUGAGGUUUCCCCAACAGAAAACUUAUGUCUCGGCCUACUUUAAUGAAAAGUAUUGAGAAAGACUUUCAUAAAUUAUCCUUCAAAAUGAAAUCUGAAAUGUUUAAAUGUUAUCAUAUUGUUGCGACUACAGAUUUUUAAAAAGUAAUAAAUUUUUUUAGAUUGUACAUUGGAAUAACAGUCGCAUGGAUCAAUGAGGAUUUAUUACUAACACUAAGAAGACUAGAAGAGUCACAUACAUGUAAUAACUUAGCUAAAGCAAUAGAUGAAGUAUACACACAG
This is a long non-coding RNA of Daktulosphaira vitifoliae (grape phylloxera), 1544 nucleotides long. RefSeq lists it as uncharacterized. NCBI's taxonomy places the organism in Eukaryota, Metazoa, Arthropoda, Insecta, Hemiptera, Phylloxeridae. The transcript is spliced from 4 exons. The record is from RefSeq and is a predicted model, not a curated record.